Molecule: RNA transcript, 947 nt
Organism: Sapajus apella (tufted capuchin)
Lineage: Eukaryota; Metazoa; Chordata; Mammalia; Primates; Cebidae
Gene name: prostaglandin E synthase 3-like
Exons: 3
Source: RefSeq, a predicted model, not a curated record
AUGCCGGCUGCUUCUGCAAAGUGGUACGAUCAAUCUAAGGGACUAUGUCGUCAUUGAAUUUUGUAUUGAAGCCACUAAAGCUGUUAAUGUAUGUUUUGAAAAAUCCAAACUUAAUUCAGUUGUCUUGGAGGAAGUGAUCAUUUCAAGCAUUUAAAUGACAUUGGUCUUUUUUACUGUGUUGAUCCAAAUGAUCCCAAGGCAAAGUUUAACUGGUUUAGUGUGGACUUCAACAGUUGGAAAGACGGAAGAUGAUUCAGAUGAAGGCAUGUCUAAUUUUGACCACUUCUCUGGUCAAGAUGAUGAACAGCAUGGGUGGUGGUGUUGACGAAGAGUUACCAGAAGUAGAUGGAGCAGAUGAUGACUCACAAGGCAGUGAUGAUGAGAAAAUGCUAGAUCUAAAGCAUAUUGUCAUCACUUGGAAUUUGAUAAAGAAAAAUAACUGCUCUGCAAGAUAUCAGAAUUGACAGAAUCCCUGAAUCGAUAGCUCUGAAGGCAUGCUGUAUUUGCCCACUGUAACCCAUUUUUCAACCUGUUUGUUUUUGAAAAGGCUUCAUUGUGGGUUGAUAUGUACCAUUGCAUGGGGCAAUUUUAAAUUAGCUAAGGCAAUAACCUGAUGCAUGAACACUUCCCAGGUUUCCAGGAAGCUGUUGAAAUCUUAGGUAAUUGAUGCAGCAGUUGGGAUAAAUCUCACCUAAGUCUCCUUUUCUUCAUAACAUAGAUACUGACGUGAUAGGAAGCUCUCAGCUUAGGGAAAGAGAACUAAAUUUUAGAUUACAGAACAUGAAUUCAGAAGUGGCUGGAACAAAUUGGCUCACACCUUACUGGUACCUGCUAUUCCUCUGGUGUCACCCUUCAGGAUUUUCACUAAAGUUUAUUUUUCAAAAAAUUUACUUUCACCUGAUUUUAUGUAAGUGAUCCCUUGUCAGUGUUUCAGAUGUAUUUUAGCU